Molecule: ribosomal RNA, 495 nt
Filed under: uncultured bacterium
Lineage: Bacteria
Description: partial 16S ribosomal RNA
Rfam family: Bacterial small subunit ribosomal RNA
Source: RNAcentral
GACGAACGCUGGCGGCGUGCCUAAUACAUGCAAGUCGAACGCUGAAGGAGGAGCUUGCUCUUCUGGAUGAGUUGCGAACGGGUGAGUAACGCGUAGGUAACCUGCCUGGUAGCGGGGGAUAACUAUUGGAAACGAUAGCUAAUACCGCAUAACAGUAGAUGCUGCAUGACAUUUGCUUAAAAGGUGCAAUUGCAUCACUACCAGAUGGACCUGCGUUGUAUUAGCUAGUUGGUGGGGUAACGGCUCACCAAGGCGACGAUACAUAGCCGACCUGAGAGGGUGAUCGGCCACACUGGGACUGAGACACGGCCCAGACUCCUACGGGAGGCAGCAGUAGGGAAUCUUCGGCAAUGGACGGAAGUCUGACCGAGCAACGCCGCGUGAGUGAAGAAGGGUUUCGGAUCGUAAAGCUCUGUUGUAAGAGAAGAACGAGUGUGAGAGUGGAAAGUUCACACUGUGACGGUAGCUUACCAGAAAGGGACGGCUAACUACGUG